UACGUAGGGGGCAAGCGUUGUCCGGAAUCAUUGGGCGUAAAGCGCGUGUAGGCGGCUCGAUAAGUCUGCUGUGAAAGUCCAGGGCUCAACCCUGGAAUGCCGGUGGAAACUGUCGAGCUAGAGUUCGGAAGAGGCGAGUGGAAUUCCUGGUGUAGCGGUGAAAUGCGCAGAUAUCAGGAGGAACACCAAUGGCGAAGGCAGCUCGCUGGGACGGUACUGACGCUGAGACGCGAAAGCGUGGGGAGCAAACAGG
This 253-nucleotide ribosomal RNA is filed under the name uncultured bacterium. RNAcentral's name for it is "partial 16S ribosomal RNA". It matches the Rfam family "Bacterial small subunit ribosomal RNA", at positions 524 to 776 of the family's 1533-position model. The record is from RNAcentral.